RNAcentral lists this ribosomal RNA (111 nucleotides) under Triticum aestivum (bread wheat). RNAcentral's name for it is "partial small subunit ribosomal RNA". The record is from RNAcentral. Lineage: Eukaryota; Viridiplantae; Streptophyta; Magnoliopsida; Poales; Poaceae.
AUGGCCCACAUAUCAGAUAUUAAACUGAUAAGAACAGAUACUACACUUGAUCUUAGCCAAAAGGCCGAGAAAGGUAUGCUUCUCCCCGUCGCCCUGGGUCUGCUUAUAUAG